GGGGAAUAUUGGGCAAUGGGCGAAAGCCUGACCCAGCAACGCCGCGUGAAGGAAGAAGGCUUUCGGGUUGUAAACUUCUUUUAUCAGGGACGAAGGAUGUGACGGUACCUGAUGAAUAAGCCACGGCUAACUACGUGCCAGCAGCCGCGGUAAUACGUAGGUGGCAAGCGUUGUCCGGAUUUACUGGGUGUAAAGGGCGCGUAGGCGGAGAGACAAGUCAGAUGUGAAAUCUAUGGGCUUAACCCAUAAACUGCAUUUGAAACUAUCUCCCUUGAGUGAUGGAGAGGCAAGCGGAAUUCCUAGUGUAGCGGUGAAAUGCGUAGAUAUUAGGAGGAACACCAGUGGCGAAGGCGGCUUGCUGGGCUUUUACUGACGCUGAGGCUCGAAAGCGUGGGGAGCAAACAGGAUUAGAUACCCUGGUAGUCCACGCCGUAAACGAUGAUUACUAGGUGUGGGGGGAUUGACCCCUUCCGUGCCGGAGUAAACACAAUAAGUAAUCCACCUGGGGAGUACGACCGCAAGGUUGAAACUCAAAGGAAUUGACGGGGGCCCGCACAAGCAGUGGAGUAUGUGGUUUAAUUCGACGCAACGCGAAGAACCUUACCAGGUCUUGACAUCAAGUGACCGCCUAAGAGAUUAGGUUUUCCCUUCGGGGACACAAAGACAGGUGGUGCAUGGUUGUCGUCAGCUCGUGUCGUGAGAUGUUGGGUUAAGUCCCGCAACGAGCGCAACCCUUAUCAUUAGUUGCUACGCAAGAGCACUCUAAUGAGACUGCCGUUGACAAAACGGAGGAAGGUGGGGAUGACGUCAAAUCAUCAUGCCCUUUAUGACCUGGGCUACACACGUACUACAAUGGCGUUUAACAAAGAGAAGCAAAGCCGCGAGGCAGAGCAAAUCUCCAAAAAACGUCUCAGUUCGGAUUGUAGGCUGCAACUCGCCUACAUGAAGUCGGAAUUGCUAGUAAUCGUAGGUCAGCAUACUACGGUGAAUACGUUCCCG
This 999-nucleotide ribosomal RNA is filed under the name uncultured organism. Its description in RNAcentral is "bacterial SSU rRNA". It matches the Rfam family "Bacterial small subunit ribosomal RNA", at positions 356 to 1376 of the family's 1533-position model. The record is from RNAcentral.